UUUGCGUUCGCGCAGCCCCUACC
This 23-nucleotide non-coding RNA is filed under the name Arabidopsis thaliana (thale cress). The record is from RNAcentral. Lineage: Eukaryota; Viridiplantae; Streptophyta; Magnoliopsida; Brassicales; Brassicaceae.